RNAcentral lists this ribosomal RNA (460 nucleotides) under uncultured bacterium. RNAcentral's name for it is "partial 16S ribosomal RNA". It matches the Rfam family "Bacterial small subunit ribosomal RNA", at positions 338 to 795 of the family's 1533-position model. The record is from RNAcentral.
CCUACGGGGGGCAGCAGUGAGGAAUAUUGGUCAAUGGACGCAAGUCUGAACCAGCCAUGCCGCGUGCAGGAAGACGGCUCUAUGAGUUGUAAACUGCUUUUGUACGGGGGUAAACGCAGAUACGUGUAUCUAUCUGAGAGUCUCGUACGCAUAAGGAUCGGCUAACUCCGGGCCAGCAUCCGCGGUAAUACGGAGAAUUCCAGCGUUAUCCGGAUUUAUUGGGUUUAACGGGUGGGGAGGCGGUCGGGUAAGUUAGAGGUGAAAUCCCGCGGCUCAACCUCGGAAUUGCCUCUGAUACGGUGCGGCUAGAGAGUAGUUGAGGUAGGCGGAAUGCAUGGUGUAGCGGUGAAAUGCUUAGAGAUCAUACAGAACACCGAUUGCGAAGGCAGCUUACCAAGCUACUUCUGACGUUGAGGCACGAAAGCGUGGGGAGCAAACAGGAUUAGAUACCCUGGUAGUC